This 480-nucleotide ribosomal RNA is filed under the name uncultured bacterium. Its description in RNAcentral is "bacterial SSU rRNA". It matches the Rfam family "Bacterial small subunit ribosomal RNA", at positions 329 to 802 of the family's 1533-position model. The record is from RNAcentral.
GCCCAGACUCCUACGGGAGGCAGCAGUAGGGAAUUUUCGGCAAUGGGGGAAACCCUGACCGAGCAACGCCGCGUGAAGGAAGAAGUAAUUCGUUAUGUAAACUUCUGUCAUAGAGGAAGAACGGUGGAUAUAGGGAAUGAUAUCCAAGUGACGGUACUCUAUAAGAAAGCCACGGCUAACUACGUGCCAGCAGCCGCGGUAAUACGUAGGUGGCGAGCGUUAUCCGGAAUUAUUGGGCGUAAAGAGGGAGCAGGCGGCACUAAGGGUCUGUGGUGAAAGAUCGAAGCUUAACUUCGGUAAGCCAUGGAAACCGUAGAGCUAGAGUGUGUGAGAGGAUCGUGGAAUUCCAUGUGUAGCGGUGAAAUGCGUAGAUAUAUGGAGGAACACCAGUGGCGAAGGCGACGAUCUGGCGCAUAACUGACGCUCAGUCCCGAAAGCGUGGGGAGCAAAUAGGAUUAGAUACCCUAGUAGUCCACGCCG